ACCUGGCUGGCUCAGUCAGUAGAGCACAUGACUCUUGAUCUUGAGACUGUGGGUUCAAGCCCAAUGUUGGGUG
Molecule: transfer RNA, 73 nt
Filed under: Canis lupus familiaris (dog)
Lineage: Eukaryota; Metazoa; Chordata; Mammalia; Carnivora; Canidae
Also listed under: 1 other name
Rfam family: tRNA
About the family: Transfer RNA (tRNA) molecules are approximately 80 nucleotides in length. Their secondary structure includes four short double-helical elements and three loops (D, anti-codon, and T loops). Further hydrogen bonds mediate the characteristic L-shaped molecular structure. tRNAs have two regions of fundamental functional importance: the anti-codon, which is responsible for specific mRNA codon recognition, and the 3' end, to which the tRNAs corresponding amino acid is attached (by aminoacyl-tRNA synthetases). tRNAs cope with the degeneracy of the genetic code in two manners: having more than one tRNA (with a specific anti-codon) for a particular amino acid; and 'wobble' base-pairing, i.e. permitting non-standard base-pairing at the 3rd anti-codon position.
Source: Rfam by way of RNAcentral